GGACCCGUAGCUCAGUUGGAUAGAGCGUCGGACUUCGAAUCCGCAGGCCGGGCGUUCGAGUCGCCCCGGGUCCGCCA
Molecule: transfer RNA, 77 nt
Filed under: Acidobacteriota bacterium
Lineage: Bacteria; Pseudomonadati; Acidobacteriota
Also listed under: 1 other name
Description: Acidobacteria bacterium tRNA-Arg
Rfam family: tRNA
About the family: Transfer RNA (tRNA) molecules are approximately 80 nucleotides in length. Their secondary structure includes four short double-helical elements and three loops (D, anti-codon, and T loops).
Source: RNAcentral